UCACAUUUCUCACCUCACUCGUUGUCCUCACACAGCCUCUGAAUGAGCAUUGCUGCUCUGUUACUACUUGCAACCUCUUGGUACACCUGACGGUUGUGAAAGGAAAUUUCCCUCCAGAGUCUGAUUUGGCAAACUGACGUAUUAUUGAAGGAGCUCAUUUAUUGCAUCCGUGUUCCCUUUCACAAGGGCGUGAACAAGUCGGGCCCAUAUCUGGCGUUGCCGUGUCUGUUUUAUUACUCGCUGACAGAGAGGGAGAGCAGGCCUACCUUUUCCCUGAAAGGACGUGGCAGCAGCCGGCAACAUGUGCAAGCCGAAAUGUCAACGGACGAUGUGGGUGGGAACAUGAAAAAAGGUUGCAACAGUAGCACUUGCACAAUAUGAUGGUACCUGUGUGCGUAUGGAGCCUACCCGGGGGCCAACCUCCUCAUACCUUCAGCCCAGACCUCCUCGGCCCCUGCGUGUCCAGGCUCGUUAUGCGUGGAGGUGUCUCGGGGAC
This is a long non-coding RNA of Cyclopterus lumpus (lumpfish), 496 nucleotides long. RefSeq lists it as uncharacterized. The transcript has 3 exons. The record is from RefSeq and is a predicted model, not a curated record. Lineage: Eukaryota; Metazoa; Chordata; Actinopteri; Perciformes; Cyclopteridae.